This 3352-nucleotide ribosomal RNA is filed under the name activated sludge metagenome. RNAcentral describes it as "eukaryotic LSU rRNA". It matches the Rfam family "Eukaryotic large subunit ribosomal RNA". The record is from RNAcentral.
UCUAUAUCUGAAGUCAAGUGAGAUUACCCGCUGGACUUAAGCAUAUCAUUAAGCGGAGGAAAAGAAAAUAACUAUGAUUACCCUAGUAGCGGCGAGCGAAGCGGUAAAAGCCCAAAAUGGAAAUCUUCUCCCUCAAGGAGUAGAAUUGUAAUCUAUAGACCAUCGCCAAUCCGAGAUCGAAGUUUAAGUGCCUUGGAACAGGCCGCCAUAGAAGGUGAAAGCCCUGUGUAGCUUUGAUCAGAGAGUAGGUGUAAGUCGAAGAGUCGAGUUGCCUGAGAUCGCAGCUCAAAGUGGGAGAUAAACUUCUUCUAAGGCUAAAUAGCUAUGGGAGACCGAUAGCGAACAAGUACUGUGAAGGAAAGAUGAAAAGAACUUUGGAAAGAGAGUUAACAGACCUGAAACUGUUGAGAAGGAAGCGGUAGAAAUUAAUUAUUCGGUUGUGAUCUGACUGACGGAAAUAAAGUUGUAAGUGUAGGUCACUGUUAAAAGGGCCUUGCGGACCAAUGUAAUUCCUAGGGCGAUCUAGAUUGAUAGACAAGAUGGGCUCAGUCGUUUCAAAUCCUACUUAUGGCUCGGGAUCCUGUGGUCCCACUGUGAGCAAGGCUGUAACGACCGUAGUCGAGGGGCUUCGGCGAUCUUGUCAAAAUGAUUUUUACUGUCCCGUCUUGAAACACGGACCAAGGAGUCUAACACAUAUGCGAGUGUGCUGGCGGAAAAACCAACACGCGUAAUGAAAGUAACAGGUGCCAAGCGCAAGCAGCAGCAUCGGCCGACCAUGAUCAUUAGAGAAAGGUUUGAGUAUGAGCAUAUUUGUUAGGACCCGAAAGAUGGUGAACUAUGCUUGAGUAGGGUGAAGUCAGGGGAAACUCUGAUGGAGGCUCGUAGCGAUACUGACGUGCAAAUCGUUCGUCAAACUUGAGUAUAGGGGCGAAAGACUAAUCGAACCAUCUAGUAGCUGGUUCCCUCUGAAGUUUCUCUCAGGAUAGCUAGAGCAAUCAUGCAGUUUUGCUAGGUAAAGCUAAUGAUUAGAGGUUACGGGGGUCCAGUGCCCUCGGCCUAUUCUCAAACUUUAAAUUGGUAAGAACCUGAGGUUUUCUUAAUUGAACCGAGGGGUAGAAUGCAUGCUCUAAGUGGGCCAUUUUUGGUAAGCAGAACUGGCGAUGAGGGAUGAACCUAACGUCGAGAUAAGGUGCCCAAAUUCACGCUCAUCAGACACCAUAAAAGGUGUUGGUUAGUAUAAACAGCCGGACUGUGGCCAUGGAAGUCGGCAUCAGCUAAGGAGUGUGUAACAACUCACCAGCCGAAUUAACCAGCCCUGAAAAUUGAUGGCGCUAAGCGUGAUACCGAUACUCAACCAUUAAGGCAAAUAGAAGCUUUAAUGAGUAAGAGGGCGUGAAUACUGUGUCGAAGGCUUGGAUGUGAAUCUGGCUGGAACAGUAUUUAGUGCAGAUCUUGGUGGUAGUAGCAAAUAUUCAAAUGAGAACUUUGAAGACCGAAGUGGAGAAGGGUUCCAUGAGAACAGCAUUUGUUCAUGGGUUACUCGAUCCUAAGACAUAGGGAAAUUCCUUGUAAUAUAUGUGUUCUUACGAAUGCAUUGUCAAAAGGGAAUGAGGUUGAUAUUCCUCAAGCUGGAUGUGGUGGCUACGUGGUAACACGAACAAGCUCGGAAAUGCCGGUAUGUGCAACUGGAAGAGUUCUCUUUUCUUCUUAACAAUCUAUCUCCCUGAAUGGAUUAUCCAAAGCAAGGGAUAUAUGGUUGGCAGAGCAGUUCACCAUCGAAUUGUCAGUGAUGCUCAUAACGGCCCUUGAAAAUCUGAGUAAGGUUAUCCAAUCACACCAGGUCGUACCCAUAACCGCAUCAGGUCUCCAAGGUUAGCAGCCUCUGGUCGAUAGAAUAAUGUAGAUAAGGGAAUUCGGCAAAUUAGAUCCGUAACUUCGGGAAAAGGAUUGGCUCUGAGGAUUGGGUUAUAGUUGCUGUCAUUGAGAGGGGAACUAUGAAAGAGCUGCGCAAGUGGAUCUGGAUUGGUGAACCAGGAAAUGCCGGUUUACUUACACCAGCAACAAUCGACUCAGAACUGAAGCGGACAAGGGGAAUCCGACUGUUUAAUAAAAACAUAGCUUUGUGAUGGCCUGAAAAGGUGUUGACACAAAGUGAUUUCUGCCCAGUGCUUUGAAUGUGAAUAUGAAGUAAUUUGUAGAAGCUCAGGUAAACGGCGGGAGUAACUAUGACUCUCUUAAGGUAGCCAAAUGCCUCGUCAUCUAAUUAGUGACGCGCAUGAAUGGAUCAAUGAGAUUCCCACUGUCCCUAUCUACUAUCUAGCGAACCCACAGCCAAGGGAACGGGCUUGGAAUAAUCAGCGGGGAAAGAAGACCCUGUUGAGCUUGACUCUAGUCCGACUUUGUGAAAUGACUUUCGAGAUAUAGCCUAAGUGGGAGCUAACGCGCCGCUGUAAAACCACUGCUCGCUUAGCCAUUUUACUUACUCCGUGAAGAAGUGGCCAAUUUAUUGGUUCUUAGAUUUAAGCACUUAUUUUAUAGGUGUGAAUUUUGCGGAGGACAAGGUCAGGUGGGGAGUUUGACUGGGGCGGUACAUCUGUUAAACAAUAACGCAGGUGUCCUACGGUGAGCUCAAAGAGAACAGAAAUCUCUUGUAGACCAAAAGGGGAAAAGCUCACUUGAUUUUGAUUUUCAGUACUAAUACAAACCGCGAAAGCGUGGCCUAUCGAUCCUUUAACUUUACAAGUUUUAAGCUAGAGGUGUCAGAAAAGUUACCACAGGGAUAACUGGCUUGUGGCAGCCAAGCGUUCAUAGCGACGUUGCUUUUUGAUCCUUCGAUGUCGGCUCUUCCUAUCAUUGUGAAGCAGCAUUCACCAUGUGUCGGAUUGUUCACCCGUUUAUAGGGAACGUGAGCUGGGUUUAGACCGUCGCGAGACAGGUUAGUUUUACCCUACUGAUGAAGCGGUGCCACGACAGUAAUCCAACUUAGUACGAGAGGAACAGUUGGUUCAGAUAAUUGGUAAAUACAGUUGCCUGAACAUUGGCAGUGCUGUGAAGCUACCAUCUGUAGGAUUAUGACUGAACGCCUCUAAGUCAGAAUCCGUGCUGAAAAGUGGCGCCUUGAUGAUGAUAAAUGAAAACCAAUAGGCUACGGCCCAAAUUCAUACUAUCCGAUUUAAGCUCUAAUCCAGAAUGUGUUUAGACUUUUUCGGGAAUCGUAAUUUCAAAUAUCAUUGUUGCAAAUCGUUUGUAGACGACUUAACUGAGGAGCGGGUACUGUACGUUUGCGAGUAGACUUGUGCUACGAGCUACUGAGGUUCAUCCCGUUUUCUAAGAUUUGUUUUCAUCCCCCUUU